This 210-nucleotide long non-coding RNA is filed under the name Olea europaea (common olive). RNAcentral describes it as "long non-coding RNA (OEUR_LNC009813)". Lineage: Eukaryota; Viridiplantae; Streptophyta; Magnoliopsida; Lamiales; Oleaceae. The record is from RNAcentral.
ACCAUGUUACAUGUCGUGCAUGCAUAUGAAAAUGCUCAUAAAUGACAUGCUUAAUGGAAGUUGUUGUCAAUGUAUUUUGCAACCGCAUACUCAAUGAUCGUAACCACCAUAUGAUGUACUAUAAGCCUCUUAUCAAAGUUAUGUAGAUAUUUCAACAUUACUAUGUCACAUAUACUAGGUUCUUGCAUCGUAGUUGCAAAUGGAUUUUCA